RNAcentral lists this ribosomal RNA (327 nucleotides) under uncultured eukaryote. Its description in RNAcentral is "partial 18S ribosomal RNA". It matches the Rfam family "Eukaryotic small subunit ribosomal RNA", at positions 1470 to 1796 of the family's 1831-position model. The record is from RNAcentral.
CCCUUAGAUGUUCUGGGCCGCACGCGCGCUACACUGUUCGACGCAGCGAGUCUUAACCUUGACCGAAAGGUUUGGGUAAUCUUCAGCAAAGUCGAACGUGAUGGGGAUCGAUCAUUGCAAUUAUUGAUCGUGAACGAGGAAUUCCUAGUAAGUGCAAGUCAUCAGCUUGCGCUGAUUACGUCCCUGCCCUUUGUACACACCGCCCGUCGCUACUACCGAUUGAAUGGUUCGGUGAAGAUCUCGGACUUCGAUAUUUAUUCUUUAUUGAGUUUAUAUUGUGGGAAGUUAUCUAAACCUCAUCAUUUAGAGGAAGGUGAAGUCGUAACA